This 529-nucleotide ribosomal RNA is filed under the name uncultured haloarchaeon. Its description in RNAcentral is "bacterial SSU rRNA". It matches the Rfam family "Archaeal small subunit ribosomal RNA", at positions 1 to 526 of the family's 1478-position model. Lineage: Archaea; Methanobacteriati; Methanobacteriota; Halobacteria; Halobacteriales; Halobacteriaceae. The record is from RNAcentral.
UAUUCCAGGUUGAUCCGGCCGGAGCCCAUUGCUAUCGGAGUCCGAUUUAGCCAUGCUAGUCGUGCGAGUUCAGACUCGGCGGCACCGAGCUCAGUAACACGUGGCCAAACUACCCUACAGAGACGGAUACCCUCGGGAAACUGAGGUUAACCCGUCAUACCGAUCUCAGGCUUGAAUCGCAGAGAUCACAAAACGCCCCGGCGCUGUAGGAUGUGGCUGCGGUUGAUUAGGUAGACGGUGGGGUAACGGCCCACCGUGCCCAUAAUCAGUACAGGUUGUGAGAGCAAGAACCUGGAGACGGAAUCUGAGACAAGAUUCCGGGCCCUACGGGGCGCAGCAGGCGCGAAACCUUUACACUGCACGCACGUGCGAUAAGGGGACUCCGAGUGCGAGGGGCAUAUCGUCCUCGCUUUUGUGUACCGUAGGGUGGUACACCAACAAGGGCUGGGCAAGACCGGUGCCAGCCGCCGCGGUAAUACCGGCAGCCCGAGUGAUGGCCGAUCUUAUUGGGCCUAAAGCGUCCGUAGCU